UAGGCCCUGAAUCAAGACCCGUGGUUUGUAAUAGCUGUUGGUUUCAAACAGGAGCCAAGAGUGAUGUGUUUCUGCGGUCUGUUAGCCAUUCAGCACCACGGUGGGAAUGGCUCAUUCAAUGGGAAGAACAUAG
RNAcentral lists this small nucleolar RNA (133 nucleotides) under Zalophus californianus (California sea lion). Lineage: Eukaryota; Metazoa; Chordata; Mammalia; Carnivora; Otariidae. The record is from RNAcentral.